GUGCCAGCCGCCGCGGUAAUACGGGGGGGGCGAGCGUUGUUCGGAAUCACUGGGCGUAAAGGGCGCGUAGGCGGCCCGCACAAGUCUGCGGUGAAAACCUCCGGCUUAACCGGGGGCCGGCCGUGGAAACUGUCGGGCUGGAGGCUGGGAGAGGGCAGCGGAAUUCCCGGUGUAGCGGUGAAAUGCGUAGAGAUCGGGAGGAACACCGGCGGCGAAGGCGGCUGCCUGGACCAGUCCUGACGCUGAGGCGCGAAAGCUAGGGGAGCAAACAGGAUUAGAAACCCCCGUAGUCC
Molecule: ribosomal RNA, 293 nt
Filed under: uncultured bacterium
Lineage: Bacteria
Description: partial 16S ribosomal RNA
Rfam family: Bacterial small subunit ribosomal RNA
Source: RNAcentral